This 253-nucleotide ribosomal RNA is filed under the name uncultured bacterium. RNAcentral's name for it is "partial 16S ribosomal RNA". It matches the Rfam family "Bacterial small subunit ribosomal RNA", at positions 524 to 776 of the family's 1533-position model. The record is from RNAcentral.
UACGUAGGGUGCAAGCGUUAAUCGGAAUUACUGGGCGUAAAGCGUGCGCAGGCGGUUUUGUAAGACAGAUGUGAAAUCCCCGGGCUCAACCUGGGAACUGCAUUUGUGACUGCACGGCUGGAGUGCGGCAGAGGGGGAUGGAAUUCCGCGUGUAGCAGUGAAAUGCGUAGAUAUGCGGAGGAACACCGAUGGCGAAGGCAAUCCCCUGGGCCUGCACUGACGCUCAUGCACGAAAGCGUGGGGAGCAAACAGG